AUGUGCAACCGCUCGCCGGAAUCCGGCUGCUCCUCCCAAGCGCCGCCCACGCCGUCCUCUGCUCGUUCCCGCACGCUGCCGGCUGCAUCUCGCUGUUUCGCGCCGCCGGGAUCACGCCUAUCGCCUUCCCGCGGACGCCGGAGGAAUAGCUCAGGCACUGCUCCUCCACAUCCUCUUGGUUGCAUGACCACCACUCUGCCUUCUUUCGUUGCGGCUUUGUCGCCGUCGCAUCUAGGCAGAAGCGAACCAUCUCACGCGCCCCUGCCAGUCCCAGCAACACGCAAAAAGCUGUCGCCCCUUACCUGUUGGUUGUCCGCUCAUGGCAACCCUCCCUACGCUGAGGCUGAGCUGACCGUGGCAGUCUGCGAGAGCCGAUCUGGGCCGCAUCUUCUUCAUCUUCAAAGCAACAGCAGCGAGCCUGUUCAGUUCGUCUUCAAGGAGCAGCAGCGCAUCACGUUCACCCACUAG
This 468-nucleotide ribosomal RNA is filed under the name Triticum aestivum (bread wheat). RNAcentral describes it as "partial small subunit ribosomal RNA". Lineage: Eukaryota; Viridiplantae; Streptophyta; Magnoliopsida; Poales; Poaceae. The record is from RNAcentral.